UAGGCGAUCCGCGGGAUGUGUGCGGGUCAGUGCCUGGGGUCCCGGGCCUAAAGCCCCUUUCUCAGCUAGCCACAAUAAACCAGCGCAAGGUUUAGUCCUUACUGGGUCACCGGCCAUCCUCUAUUAUUCAACGCUUCACAACAAAAAACACUUAUUAAUCAGCGCUGACCAGAGGCCCCUUUUGAAACAAGAGAAGAGGGGAGAGAGAGAGGGAGUGAGAGAGAGAGGGGUGAAAAGAAGAUUGAGAAGCCCUGGACAGAUCUUUCUAAAGCCAGAGCAACCAUGGGGUACUUUCCUCCAGUGGCCAAAGUUUAUUUGACACAACAAAGUUUCUAAUCAGGCCACGGAGACCUGGAUUUCUCCUCAUUUGCCUCACUCCCGGUCUCUUCCUCUGAAGAUGCUGGAGACUUUGUUGCAAGAAAGGAUGGCUUUAGGUCAUGUUGCUGAGGCCUGAUCUUAAAGAUCUAAUUGCUAUUGGAAGAGAAUCCUGUUUCCCAACUGGGCCUCCCCUCUGGAGAUGGAGCAAGGAAGACUGUCCAACUCUGCUCUGGGCACCCUGCUGAUGGAUGAGGUGUCAGGCCAGUCGUCAUGUGAGGACUGGUUUCCAAAUGCCAAGACCAUCCUCAAGGAGUUUAAUGAAUGUGGCAUCACAAGAAAAAUAUGCAUCAACAUUGAAAAAUAUGGUGCCUCCCUCUGGAACAGAGCGCAGUUAUAUUUCCUGCAUAGUAUGGUAA
Gorilla gorilla gorilla (western lowland gorilla) is the source of this 734-nucleotide long non-coding RNA. RefSeq lists it as uncharacterized. Lineage: Eukaryota; Metazoa; Chordata; Mammalia; Primates; Hominidae. The transcript has 3 exons. The record is from RefSeq and is a predicted model, not a curated record.